CACAAACACAUAUAACCAACCUAAAAUCAUGCCUCAUGUGCUGACUGAUUGAACAGCUUUGCAAGUGGUAUAUCCUGCAUUUGCUCCGGACCCAGCUGGGCCUUUGAGGCCAUGUUAACACUGAACAACCCCCAAAAGGGGACUCAGAAGGAACUGGGACAGGGGAUGAGCCAAGUUUGUACCUGUUCACAACCUGCCAUUUCUUGUCAGCUUGGCUGACUUCCUGCCGUAAUGUGUGCCUGGGUUCCUCCAGUGGGACCUGGUUGGAGAGCUGGCUCUGUACGCCCACGUGUCCUUCCCAGAGGAAUCACAUGUGGGGUGCAAAAAGAUAAAGCUCAUCUCGUCAGCCUGAGGAUGGACCCCGGAAGCGAUCUGCAUCCCAGCUGCACUAUUGACCAUUGGAAUCAAAUUCCUUUUAUGAAAGAGAACUACAAUUUCUGAAUUUUCUACUGGAAUGAAAAAAC
Molecule: long non-coding RNA, 464 nt
Organism: Gallus gallus (chicken)
Lineage: Eukaryota; Metazoa; Chordata; Aves; Galliformes; Phasianidae
Source: Ensembl